UUAAAAUCUGGCCCUUUCAGGGUCCGAGUUGUAGUCUCGAGAAGCCACGUCCGCGCCGGACCUUGGACAAGUCGGUUGGAAUACCGCGUCAACGAGGGUGACAAUCCCGUUUAUACCAAGGACGCCCGUGUGCAUUGUGAUGGGCUUUCAAAGAGUCGAGUUGUUUGGGAAUGCAGCUCUAAUCGGGUGGUAAAUUCCAUCUAAAGCUAAAUAUUGGCGAGAGACCGAUAGCGAACAAGUACCGUGAGGGAAAGAUGAAAAGCACUUUGGAAAGAGAAUGAAACAGUAUGUGAAAUUGCUGGAAGGGAAACGAUUGAGGUUAGACUUGCUGGCACGGCACUCAGCCCUCACGGGUGUAUUUGCCGUGCGUUUGCAGGCCAGCAUCGGUUUGCAGUCGGGUAAAAGGGUGCAGGGAACGUAGCAACCUCGGUUGUGUUAUAGACCUGCACUGGAUGCCCGAUCGCAGACCGAGGUCAGCAGGGCG
This 484-nucleotide ribosomal RNA is filed under the name Kurtzmanomyces tardus. RNAcentral's name for it is "LSU rRNA". It matches the Rfam family "Eukaryotic large subunit ribosomal RNA", at positions 115 to 595 of the family's 3401-position model. Lineage: Eukaryota; Fungi; Basidiomycota; Agaricostilbomycetes; Agaricostilbales; Chionosphaeraceae. The record is from RNAcentral.